Molecule: long non-coding RNA, 871 nt
Organism: Oncorhynchus kisutch (coho salmon)
Lineage: Eukaryota; Metazoa; Chordata; Actinopteri; Salmoniformes; Salmonidae
Exons: 2
Source: RefSeq, a predicted model, not a curated record
UGACCAGUGUUAUUACUGUUACCAGUGUUAUUACAUUGACCAGUGUUAUUACAUUGACCAGUGUUAUUACAUUUACCAGUGUUAUUACAUUUACUGUUGUUACAGGCCUGCAGGACCCCUGUUCAACAUUGUCUCCUCUCAGAAUGUCAAGCUACUUCUAUGAAUGAAAGAUGAAUUUUCAUUUUAAAGAAUGAAUGAAGCUCUAAACAAGAUGUUGUGAAUCUGAGAAAGCUCUAAAUGUUCUUUCUCUCCUAGAGGGUGGGUCUGACUUCCUGUCUGUAGCCCAUGUGACUUCCUGUCUGUAGCCCAUGUGACUGACAAUGACAGUUGUGAUGACAUCAUGAUGGUUAUUCCUCCACUAAGGUUUCGUCAACGGUCUUCUGGGGUUUAUUGCCAUCAUCACAGCGGCUGGACUACCACAGUCUGACGGUGAAGUCUACCUGAGACUCCAAGCCAAACCCUACAGAGUCCACACCUCCGGUUCCUUCAUCUGCAGCCCUCUGCUUUAAUACCCUAAUGGCAUAUCUAGAACCAGACUACAAGAUGCCAUGUAGAAAAACGUGACGGUCCCGACGGAGAAAUUAUACAACGACUCUGCUCUGCAAGUACAAAGCACAAGCUCUACAAUCACCAUACGUGGCGUUAACAACAGCCUGUUGGACGUCUAUUAACACGCUGUUAUACAUCACUGCAAAGAGCCAUCACACGGAUGAGAAGUGGGACAUGACGUACUGACAACUGAUGGAGGAGAGACACAGCAGAGAGCCUAAAACGUUGUUGAGUGGGUGGGGGACAGCUGUAACUAACCAGAUUACAACCAGGUAAAGGCGAUAAAACAAAGGUACAUCAGGAUUAUAUUUUUGUCCAGAAA